UCUGGUGGGUAUAGCUACGAGGAAACACCCGUUCCCAUUCCGAAUACGGCAGUUAAGCUCGUAAGCGCUCAAGAUACUUGGCUGGUAACGGCCUGGAAAAAUAGGUACUGCCAGAU
Molecule: ribosomal RNA, 116 nt
Filed under: candidate division TM6 bacterium JCVI TM6SC1
Lineage: Bacteria
Also listed under: 1 other name
Source: RNAcentral